UGACAGGUUAGUAUAUCCGUAAAAAAGGACGAAUUUCAUUUAUGCGUAGUUGACAAUCACGUGCCUGCAAUAAUAACAUAAUGACGUAAUGGGAUCGGUUUAGAUGGAUAAAUAGCCCGCUUUUUCAACUAAAUGUUUAAUCUCUUGUCUGUGAAAGAACGAGCAAAAUAUACACCUUCCAAAUGAAGUAUUUAGCUGUCCUUGCGUUAGUAGUCCUGUUUACCAUUAACUGCUGUGAGGGAUGUGGAAUUUGGAAUGAGAAUAAACCUUGUCAGUGUGCUUGUGAGGACCGGAGUGAGUCCUGUAGACAGACCUGCUACUUGAUGUGUCGAUAUUCACGCUGUAGAAGCACCGAGCUUAUACAACAGAGGCGAUGUUACGACAACUGCUUCAACACUUUCAGAUCCUGUUACAACGGUUGUGGUAGUGGAUAGAUGGUAUGCAGCGAAAAACAUCACCAUCAACAUUCAAUAGUGUAAAAAUCUUAAUAAAAUCCAAAUGCUGAUUAAAAUACUCGUCAUGAA
Long non-coding RNA from Saccostrea cuccullata (small rock oyster), 524 nucleotides. RefSeq lists it as uncharacterized. The transcript is spliced from 2 exons. The record is from RefSeq and is a predicted model, not a curated record. Lineage: Eukaryota; Metazoa; Mollusca; Bivalvia; Ostreida; Ostreidae.